GAUGAACGCUGGCGGCGUGCCUAAUACAUGCAAGUCGAGCGAACGGACGAGAAGCUUGCUUCUCUGAUGUUAGCGGCGGACGGGUGAGUAACACGUGGAUAACCUACCUAUAAGACUGGGAUAACUUCGGGAAACCGGAGCUAAUACCGGAUAAUAUUAUGAACCGCAUGGUUCAAAAGUGAAAGACGGUCUUGCUGUCACUUAUAGAUGGAUCCGCGCUGCAUUAGCUAGUUGGUAAGGUAACGGCUUACCAAGGCAACGAUGCAUAGCCGAGCUGAGAGGGUGAUAGGCCACACUGGAACGGAGACACGGUCCAGACUCCUACGGGAGGCAGCAGUAGGGAAUCUUCCGCAAUGGGCGAAAGCCUGACGGAGCAACGCCGAGUGAGUUAUGAAGGUCUUCGGAUCGUAAAACUCUGUUAUUAGGGAAGAACAUAUGUGUAAGUAACUGUGCACAUCUUGACGGUACCUAAUCAGAAAGCCACGGCUAACUACGUG
RNAcentral lists this ribosomal RNA (497 nucleotides) under uncultured bacterium. Its description in RNAcentral is "partial 16S ribosomal RNA". It matches the Rfam family "Bacterial small subunit ribosomal RNA", at positions 28 to 507 of the family's 1533-position model. The record is from RNAcentral.